Molecule: ribosomal RNA, 468 nt
Filed under: uncultured bacterium
Lineage: Bacteria
Description: partial 16S ribosomal RNA
Rfam family: Bacterial small subunit ribosomal RNA
Source: RNAcentral
GACGAACGCUGGCGGCGUGCUUAACACAUGCAAGUCGAACGGAAAGGCCCUGCUUUUGUGGGGUGCUCGAGUGGCGAACGGGUGAGUAACACGUGAGUAACCUGCCCUUGACUUUGGGAUAACUUCAGGAAACUGGGGCUAAUACCGGAUAGGAGCUCCUGCUGCAUGGUGGGGGUUGGAAAGUUUCGGCGGUUGGGGAUGGACUCGCGGCUUAUCAGCUUGUUGGUGGGGUAGUGGCUUACCAAGGCUUUGACGGGUAGCCGGCCUGAGAGGGUGACCGGCCACCUUGGGACUGAGAUACGGACCAGACUGCUACGGGAGGCAGCAGUGGGGAAUAUUGCGCAAUGGGCGGAAGCCUGAUGCAGCAACGCCGCGUGCGGGAUGACGUCCUUCGGGUUGUAAACCGCUUUCGCCUGUGACGAAGCGUGAGUGACGGUAAUGGGUAAAGAAGCACCGGCUAACUACGUG